RNAcentral lists this long non-coding RNA (228 nucleotides) under Mytilus galloprovincialis (Mediterranean mussel). The record is from RNAcentral. Lineage: Eukaryota; Metazoa; Mollusca; Bivalvia; Mytilida; Mytilidae.
GAUCUGUCUUACAUCAUUGUACGUCCGUGUACAUUUACGCCAAACAUUUUUCAUUUUAAAAUGAAAAAUAAAUUUUCAAAUUGCUCUGCAAAUCUUAAAGGUAGUUGGUUUGAAAAAUGUAACAAAAACCUAUAGAAAUCACUUUCGAAAAACCAUUUUCUCUAUGAGAUUUGAAAUUUGUUAUUUUCAUGAAAUUAUAUUUUUGAUUUAACGAAGAUAUUGAAACAA